GACGAACCGUGCGAACGGUGUUCGGAAUCACUGGGCUUAAAGGGCGCGUAGGCGGGUUCCCAAGUCCGGGGUGAAAUCUUUCGGCUCAACCGGAAAAUAGCCUUGGAUACUGGGAGUCUCGAGGGAGGUAGGGGCAGCGGGAACUUCCGGUGGAGCGGUGAAAUGCGUUGAUAUCGGAAGGAACGCCGGUGGCGAAAGCGCGCUGCUGGACCUCUGCUGACGCUGAGGCGCGAAAGCCAGGGGAGCAAACGGG
RNAcentral lists this ribosomal RNA (253 nucleotides) under uncultured bacterium. Its description in RNAcentral is "partial 16S ribosomal RNA". It matches the Rfam family "Bacterial small subunit ribosomal RNA", at positions 524 to 776 of the family's 1533-position model. The record is from RNAcentral.